UUAUUGUGGGCCGGUACAAUUACUUUGAACAAAUUAGAGUGCUUAAAGCAGGCUUCAAAGGCCUGAAUAUUCUGUGCAUGGCAUAAUGAAAUAAGACCUCUGUUCUACUUUCAUUGGUUUUCAGAUCAAGAGGUAAUGAUUAAUAGAAGCAGUUUGGGGGCAUUAGUAUUACGACGCGAGAGGUGAAAUUCUUGGACCUUCGUAAGAAAAACUUAAGCGAAAGCAUUUGACUGUGGAGAGUUGCCUU
Molecule: non-coding RNA, 247 nt
Filed under: Drosophila virilis
Lineage: Eukaryota; Metazoa; Arthropoda; Insecta; Diptera; Drosophilidae
Description: Eukaryotic small subunit ribosomal RNA
Rfam family: Eukaryotic small subunit ribosomal RNA
Source: Rfam by way of RNAcentral